RNAcentral lists this ribosomal RNA (266 nucleotides) under uncultured microorganism. Its description in RNAcentral is "partial 16S ribosomal RNA". It matches the Rfam family "Archaeal small subunit ribosomal RNA", at positions 330 to 598 of the family's 1478-position model. The record is from RNAcentral.
GUGCAGCAGGCGCGAAACCUUUACAAUGCCUUCACGGGCGAUAAGGGGAUCCUGAGUGCUCUAGCAUUGCUAGAGCUUUUCCAGAGUGUAAAAAGCUCUGGGAAUAAGUGGUGGGUAAGACGGGUGCCAGCCGCCGCGGUAAUACCCGCGCCACAAGUGGUGACCACGUUUAUUGGGUCUAAAGCGUUCGUAGCCGGCUCAAUAAAUUCUCGGUGAAAAUCCUGUGUAAAACAUAGGAAGUGCCGAGAAGACUGUUGAGCGUAGGG